This 253-nucleotide ribosomal RNA is filed under the name uncultured bacterium. RNAcentral's name for it is "partial 16S ribosomal RNA". It matches the Rfam family "Bacterial small subunit ribosomal RNA", at positions 524 to 776 of the family's 1533-position model. The record is from RNAcentral.
UACAGAGGGUGCGAGCGUUGUCCGGAAUCACUGGGCGUAAAGGGCGCGUAGGCGGCCUGAUAAGUAGGGGGUGAAAUCCUGUGGCUUAACUGCAGGGCUGCCUCCUAGACUGUUAGGCUCGAGCACGGUAGAGGCAGAUGGAAUUCCCGGUGUAGCGGUGGAAUGCGUAGAGAUCCGGAAGAACACCAGUGGCGAAGGCGGUCUGCUGGGCAGUUGCUGACACUGAUGCGCGACAGCGUGGGGAGCAAACAGG